Molecule: ribosomal RNA, 466 nt
Filed under: uncultured bacterium
Lineage: Bacteria
Description: partial 16S ribosomal RNA
Rfam family: Bacterial small subunit ribosomal RNA
Source: RNAcentral
GACGAACGCUGGCGGCGCGCCUAACACAUGCAAGUCGAACGAGCGAGAGAGAGCUUGCUUUCUCGAGCGAGUGGCGAACGGGUGAGUAACGCGUGAGGAACCUGCCUCAAAGAGGGGGACAACAGUUGGAAACGACUGCUAAUACCGCAUAAGCCCACGGUGCCGCAUGGCACAGAGGGAAAAGGAGCAAUCCGCUUUGAGAUGGCCUCGCGUCCGAUUAGCUAGUUGGUGAGGUAAUGGCCCACCAAGGCGACGAUCGGUAGCCGGACUGAGAGGUUGAACGGCCACAUUGGGACUGAGACACGGCCCAGACUCCUACGGGAGGCAGCAGUGGGGAAUAUUGCACAAUGGGGGAAACCCUGAUGCAGCGACGCCGCGUGGAGGAAGAAGGUCUUCGGAUUGUAAACUCCUGUUGUUGGGGAAGAUAAUGACGGUACCCAACAAGGAAGUGGCGGCUAACUACGUG